UACGAAGGGGGCUAGCGUUGCUCGGAAUUACUGGGCGUAAAGCGCACGUAGGCGGUCUUUUAAGUCGGGGGUGAAAUCCUGGAGCUCAACUCCAGAACUGCCUUCGAUACUGAAAGACUUGAGUCCGGGAGAGGUGAGUGGAACUGCGGGUGUAGAGGUGAAAUUCGUAGAUAUUCGCAAGAACACCAGUGGCGAAGGCGGCUCACUGGCCCGGUACUGACGCUGAGGUGCGAAAGCGUGGGGAGCGAACAGG
RNAcentral lists this ribosomal RNA (253 nucleotides) under uncultured bacterium. RNAcentral describes it as "partial 16S ribosomal RNA". It matches the Rfam family "Bacterial small subunit ribosomal RNA", at positions 524 to 776 of the family's 1533-position model. The record is from RNAcentral.